AACGAACGCUGGCGGCAGGCUUAACACAUGCAAGUCGAGCGCCCCGCUAGGGGAGCGGCUGACGUGUGAGUAACGCGUGGGAACGUACCUUUUGGUUCGGAACAACUCCGUGAAACUGGGGCUAAUACCGGAAACGCCCUAACGUGGAAGGAUUUAUCGCCAAAAGAUCGGCCCGAUUCUGAUUGGCUAGUUUGUGAGGUAACGGCUCACCAAGGCGACGGCCAGUAGCUGGUCUGAGAGUAUGAUCAGACACACUGGGACUGAGACACGGUCCAGACUCCUACGCGAGGCAGCAGUGGGGAAUAUUGGAAAAUGGGGGCAAGCCUGAUGCAGCCCUGACGGGUGAACGAUGAAGGCAGUAGGGUUGUAAAGCUCAUUUGACCGGGAAGAUAUUGACUGUACCGGAAGAAUAAGCCCCGGCUAACUUCGUG
This 431-nucleotide ribosomal RNA is filed under the name uncultured bacterium. RNAcentral describes it as "partial 16S ribosomal RNA". It matches the Rfam family "Bacterial small subunit ribosomal RNA", at positions 29 to 507 of the family's 1533-position model. The record is from RNAcentral.